This 253-nucleotide ribosomal RNA is filed under the name uncultured bacterium. Its description in RNAcentral is "partial 16S ribosomal RNA". It matches the Rfam family "Bacterial small subunit ribosomal RNA", at positions 524 to 776 of the family's 1533-position model. The record is from RNAcentral.
UACGUAGGGUGCGAGCGUUGUCCGGAAUUACUGGGCGUAAAGGGCGCGUAGGCGGCCCGCUAAGUCGAACGUGAAAUCCCCGGGCUCAACCCGGGAACUGCGUCCGAUACUGGCAGGCUUGAAUCCGGGAGAGGGAUGCGGAAUUCCAGGUGUAGCGGUGAAAUGCGUAGAUAUCUGGAGGAACACCGGUGGCGAAGGCGGCAUCCUGGACCGGCAUUGACGCUGAGGCGCGAAAGCCAGGGGAGCAAACGGG